Small nucleolar RNA from Cynara cardunculus var. scolymus (artichoke), 88 nucleotides. RefSeq annotates it as small nucleolar RNA Z159/U59. NCBI's taxonomy places the organism in Eukaryota, Viridiplantae, Streptophyta, Magnoliopsida, Asterales, Asteraceae. The record is from RefSeq and is a predicted model, not a curated record. The transcript has a single exon.
AUCUCUAAUGAUGAUUCAAACAUAAUAACUUUCGUUCUUCUGAUAAUAACCGUGCUGAAAGCAUUUUGGAGACCUGAACUGAAGAGAU